UCAUACUUCUUGGGUUAUAUCACACUUAUUAUAUAGGAUGGGAAUGUAUAUAGUGGGAAAAAAAGCCACACUGACCCGGUGGCCUGCUGGCUGAAUUUACUGAGAUUCAGGGGAGAACUCAAACUGUGGGUUUCCAUAUUUGCUCCAGACAAAUCUUAGCUAAUUCAAGUAGGACCAUUUUAAAAACUGAAGCAGUCAUGUUGCUGCUCUUCUGCUCAGUCUCACAGACUACGCAGAGGACAGAACUUCCUCAAUUUGAUCAGUUUUUUGUGUGAUGAAAAAACUGUGAUGUGGUCCCAAUGAGAGGGACACAGGGUGCAGAGCAGCCUGGGAACAGGCGUUGGAGGGUAAAGGGUGCUGGCUGGGUAGCUGUCACAACGGACUCCUGUUUUUGAACUAUAGGUGCAUUUCUAAGAGGAGCGUAAGAUCAGUCCACAUCUUCUAGGACAGAGGAUUGAAAAGCAAUAAUCGACAAUAAUCUUGAUGCCACUGAGUACAAGCUCCAGUGUAUUCCCAACUCUUGCUUCUCUCCCCACCCCUCACCUGAGGUACAGCUGAGGGAAUCGAAUCCACGGUGGUAUCAGGUGAUCCCAUGUCUGCGCUGUUUUGUCCAUAGCCAGUUUGAGGAAACUGCAUCGGCAUAAUCACGAAAAGAUGAAACUCAGUGCGAGCAUGGCGACUCUUUCUCCACUUUGUUCUUUCAUCUCGUUCAUGCUUUUGAGAUCCAAAUGAACCAAGCCUGAGCAUCUCGUGUGGAGUGGAGUGUUGGAUUUAGCCAGUCAGAUGAUGGAGGGGCAAUGUCACUGAGGGAAGCUGUGAAUCUGGGAUCCACUAAAAUGGCCAUUGUGCCCUUUCUAAGAAAGAAUUUAUGAAU
Molecule: non-coding RNA, 874 nt
Organism: Rattus norvegicus (Norway rat)
Lineage: Eukaryota; Metazoa; Chordata; Mammalia; Rodentia; Muridae
Source: RefSeq, a predicted model, not a curated record